UACGGAGGGCGCGAGCGUUGUUCGGAAUCAUUGGGCGUAAAGCGCGUGUAGGCGGCUUGGUAAGUCGAGUGUGAAAGCCCGGGGCUCAACCCCGGAAGGUCGCUCGAAACUGCCUCGCUAGAGUCCCGGAGAGGAAGGCGGAAGUCCCGGUGUAGAGGUGAAAUUCGUAGAUAUCGGGAGGAACACCAGCGGCGAAGGCGGCCUUCUGGACGGUGACUGACGCUGAGACGCGAAAGCGUGGGGAGCAAACAGG
RNAcentral lists this ribosomal RNA (253 nucleotides) under uncultured bacterium. RNAcentral's name for it is "partial 16S ribosomal RNA". It matches the Rfam family "Bacterial small subunit ribosomal RNA", at positions 524 to 776 of the family's 1533-position model. The record is from RNAcentral.